RNAcentral lists this Y RNA (113 nucleotides) under Propithecus coquereli (Coquerel's sifaka). RNAcentral's name for it is "Y RNA (ENSPCOG00000001981.1)". It matches the Rfam family "Y RNA". Rfam says of the family: Y RNAs are components of the Ro ribonucleoprotein particle (Ro RNP), in association with Ro60 and La proteins. The Y RNAs and Ro60 and La proteins are well conserved, but the function of the Ro RNP is not known. Lineage: Eukaryota; Metazoa; Chordata; Mammalia; Primates; Indriidae. The record is from Rfam by way of RNAcentral.
AGCUGGUCCAAAGGUAGUAAGUUACCUCAACUGAUUGUUUACAGUCAGUUACAGAUCAAACUAUUUGUUCUACUCUUUCCCCCCUUCUCACUACUAUACUUUAUUAGUCUUUA